UGUGAUGCCCUUAGAUGUUCUGGGCUGCACGCGCGCUACNCUGACGAACGCAACGAGUUUAUCACCUUGGCANAGAUGUCUGGGUAAUCUUUUCAAAGUUCGUCGUGAUGGGGAUAGAUGAUUGUAAUUAUUCGUCUCGAACGAGGAAUUCCUAGUAAGUGUGAGUCAUCAGCUCGCGCUGAUUGCGUCCCUGCCCUUUGUACACACCGCCCGUCGCUCCUACCGAUUGAAUGGUCCGGUGAGAACGUCGGAUCAUGCGCUCGUCGCUUCACGGCAACUUGCGUGAGAGAAGUUGUUCAAACCUUACCAUUUAGAGGAAGGAGAAGUCGUAACA
Molecule: ribosomal RNA, 334 nt
Filed under: uncultured eukaryote
Lineage: Eukaryota
Description: bacterial SSU rRNA
Rfam family: Eukaryotic small subunit ribosomal RNA
Source: RNAcentral